Molecule: ribosomal RNA, 497 nt
Filed under: uncultured bacterium
Lineage: Bacteria
Description: partial 16S ribosomal RNA
Rfam family: Bacterial small subunit ribosomal RNA
Source: RNAcentral
GAUGAACGCUGGCGGCGUGCCUAAUACAUGCAAGUCGAGCGAACAGACGAGGAGCUUGCUCCUUCGACGUUAGCGGCGGACGGGUGAGUAACACGUAGGUAACCUACCUAUAAGACUGGGAUAACUUCGGGAAACCGGAGCUAAUACCGGAUAAUAUUUCGAACCGCAUGGUUCGAUAGUGAAAGAUGGCUUUGCUAUCACUUAUAGAUGGACCUGCGCCGUAUUAGCUAGUUGGUAAGGUAACGGCUUACCAAGGCAACGAUACGUAGCCGACCUGAGAGGGUGAUCGGCCACACUGGAACUGAGACACGGUCCAGACUCCGACGGGAGGCAGCAGUAGGGAAUCUUCCGCGAUGGGCGAAAGCCUGACGGAGCAACGCCGCGUGAGUGAUGAAGGUCUUCGGAUCGUAAAACUCUGUUAUUAGGGAAGAACAAACGUGUAAGUAACUGUGCACGUCUUGACGGUACCUAAUCAGAAAGCCACGGCUAACUACGUG